Podarcis muralis (Common wall lizard) is the source of this 1153-nucleotide non-coding RNA. The record is from RefSeq and is a predicted model, not a curated record. NCBI's taxonomy places the organism in Eukaryota, Metazoa, Chordata, Lepidosauria, Squamata, Lacertidae.
UCAAGCCAAGUUAAAAAGCAACAAACUGGCAAAUCCUCCCUUUAAAAAAAUGCUGGUAUGUGUUAGAAAAACACUGGGGCCAAAUUUGAAUAGUAGGGUGUCUGACAUCUGGUGGGUGGGGCUUUUGUGUUGUUCUCCGGAAUCGGCCCCUCCCUUCAUGUGUUCGGUUAGGUUCAGUUAAAGAGACCAACUGUCAUUCUCGCCUCAUGAUGUUGUUUUCGUUUCUUCAGUUUACAAUUUUCUUUAUUAUUGAAGCUUUGUUUGACAUAUACGUGAGUCGCUUACUUUGCUGAAAGGAAAGAUAUUCUGCUGAAGAAUGGUGGAAUAUCCUCAACUUGGCACACAAACUUGGCUUCGCAAGUCUCAUCUUUCCGUUGUGAGAGCUCUUUCUGGUGCUGAAUCAUCAGGUAACUUAUCUCACUGAAAUGGAAAAACACAAGCCCCCUUUGACACUUUUGCCAGAGUGGAACCUCUUGCCUAAGAAAAUCAAGACUAACUCUUCAACAGGAAGGUCCAGAAACACCAGCAACAACCAGAGAAAGAACAGCAGUCUGCGCAGACCAUGGCUGUGCUCCCAGGAGCUACUUUAGGUGGACCCAAAACCAAGCGGAAUGUUUGACAUUCUCCCUCUUUUGAGAAGUGGAUCCCCAUAUCAUAGCAGAAACUGCUUAUGAAAAUCUCCAGUAAAGGAGUGGUGUGCAGCAUGCAGUGAUGCUGUUUGAGAAAGAACUUGUCACAAUAAAGAACGUGUGGAAGUUGUAGCAAAGUAGAACUUUGUGUGCAGGCAUAUAUAUAAGUUCCAUUUUGAACCACAAGGUCAGAGUAUAAGUGAGAAUCAGCUUAGGGACAUAUGUGCUGCAGCAAAUCCAAUGGCAAAGAACCCAGUAUAUUGCAGGAUUCCUCAUAGGGAGAGUCAGACCUCAGAAACAAGAGCCUUAUUGUUGUGAACAGGAGUUUUCAGCUCUGACAAAUAUGAAAGGUCAGAAAAGAGAAAGGCUUCUUUGUGUUGAUGAGGAAAUGAAAGUUUGUUUGUCUCAAAUUAGACCUAAUAUAAAUGUGGUUAUAUACUUAAGGUAUGUAUGUAAGAGGCUUGUUUAGAAUUAUAUUCUGGGAAUGAUUCAAGUUCUUAUAUGGUUGCAUUGUUUUAUACUUU